This 253-nucleotide ribosomal RNA is filed under the name uncultured bacterium. RNAcentral describes it as "partial 16S ribosomal RNA". It matches the Rfam family "Bacterial small subunit ribosomal RNA", at positions 524 to 776 of the family's 1533-position model. The record is from RNAcentral.
UACGAAGGGGGCUAGCGUUGUUCGGAUUUACUGGGCGUAAAGCGCACGUAGGCGGUUUGUUAAGUCAGGGGUGAAAUCCCGGAGCUCAACCCCGGAACUGCCUUUGAUACUGGGUUUCUUGAGUUCGGAAGAGGUAAGUGGAAUUGCGAGUGUAGAGGUGAAAUUCGUAGAUAUUCGCAGGAACACCAGUGGCGAAGGCGGCUUACUGGUCCGAUACUGACGCUGAGGUGCGAAAGCGUGGGGAGCAAACAGG